Molecule: ribosomal RNA, 257 nt
Filed under: uncultured bacterium
Lineage: Bacteria
Description: partial 16S ribosomal RNA
Rfam family: Bacterial small subunit ribosomal RNA
Source: RNAcentral
GUCCACGCCGUAAACGAUGGAUGCUAGCCGUUGGUAAGCAUGCUUAUCAGUGGCGCAGCUAACGCAUUAAGCGUCCCGCCUGGGGAGUACGGCCGCAAGGUUGAAACUCAAAGGAAUUGACGGGGCCCGCACAAGCGGUGGAGCAUGUGGUUUAAUUCGACGCAACGCGCAGAACCUUACCAGGGUUUGACAUCCGCGCUAAACCCAGAGAUGGGUGGUCCCGCAAGGGCGCGAGACAGGUGCUGCAUGGCUGUCGU